RNAcentral lists this long non-coding RNA (779 nucleotides) under Physcomitrium patens. RNAcentral describes it as "long non-coding RNA (PPAT_LNC010664)". The record is from RNAcentral. Lineage: Eukaryota; Viridiplantae; Streptophyta; Bryopsida; Funariales; Funariaceae.
UCCUUCACAUCUGUUGAGGUGAUAGGAUCGGCAAAUUGUACUAGAACAUUGAGCGACAUGAUGUCAAGGUGAGUAAAGUUUUUGCUGUGGACAUAUCUGACGCCUUCGGCAAUUUGCAGCAUAAUAUCGACUGAAUUUAAGAUUGUAAAUGGGGUAGGUGCAGACGGAGCAUGAGUUCCAUCUUUGUAAUUCAGUAGCAGAUUGUGCAAGCUUUUGCGCAGCGGUUCCAUCAAGAUACUUACGUAGUUUUUGUCUUCCCAACAACAGAUGAUACGGACUACAUUCGGAUGGUCAAGGGCAGCCAUAUCAGAAACCUCCUCCCUGAAGUGUGCCUCGUGAGUCGCAUCUUUGUUGAAAGUCUUCAUUGCAUACAUUUGCCCAAGCCAUUUUAUCUCUUUCACUUCAGCAACGCCUACUUUUCCAUUCUGUUGUCUUUUAGAAUCAAACUGCGGUUGAACCCAUGAGAAGAUAGAUGACAUAAUUUGCGACAGAGAGCUCCUGUCCUCCAAUUCUUUUUCUUCUGUAUCCCACUGCUGAAGUACUUUAUCCUUGAGGCAUUCGGAACAAAAGUCUGGUUUACAUAUUUCAUCACAAACGUGUGGGCCUUGGAGAAGGGCCCUCAAAGAAUCUAGGUCUUGCCUUGCCGCAAGUAUCAACCUGGCAUGGUCGAUGGACCUCAGCUUACCAUCGCACGUCCUCUUGUCAUAGAUGUCGCUCUGUGCCACCAAGACGCUGUACAACACCAACGAGUGCCACUCAAUCUCAUACGCUAUCUUCGC